Molecule: ribosomal RNA, 497 nt
Filed under: uncultured bacterium
Lineage: Bacteria
Description: partial 16S ribosomal RNA
Rfam family: Bacterial small subunit ribosomal RNA
Source: RNAcentral
GAUGAACGCUGGCGGCGUGCCUAAUACAUGCAAGUCGAGCGAACAGACGAGGAGCUUGCUCCUCUGACGUUAGCGGCGGACGGGUAAGUAACACGUGGAUAACCUACCUAUAAGACUUGGAUAACUUCGGGAAACCGGAGCUAAUACCGGAUAAUAUAUGGUACAUCAUGGUUCAAUAGUAGAAGACGGUUUUGCUGUCACUUGUAGCUUAAUCAGCACCGCAUUAGGUAGUUGGUAACGUAACGGCUUACCAAUGCGACGAUGAGUAGCCGACCUGGGGGGGUGAUCGGGCGCACCGGAACGGAGAGACGGCCCAGAGGCCUAUGGGAGGCAGCAGUAGGGAAUAUUCCGCGAUGGGCGAAAGCCUGACGGAGCAAGGCGGCGUGAGUGAUGAAGGUAUUCGGAUCGCACAACUAUGUUAUUAGGGAAGAAAAAAUGUGUAAGUAACUAUGAACGUCUUGACGGUACCUAAUCAGAAAGCCACGGCUAAAUACGUG